UGGAGAUGUCUUCCUUUCCGUUAUCAAUGGAGGCACUCGGCCGUGCUGUGGGAAUAUAUUUCAUAGGUCCUUAGGCGUGAAUCGCCAGGGGUGCGGUGUGAGGAUGGGUUAAAUGCCUA
Molecule: regulatory RNA element, 119 nt
Organism: Paenibacillus selenitireducens
Lineage: Bacteria; Bacillati; Bacillota; Bacilli; Caryophanales; Paenibacillaceae
Rfam family: epsC RNA
Source: Rfam